RNAcentral lists this ribosomal RNA (253 nucleotides) under uncultured bacterium. RNAcentral describes it as "partial 16S ribosomal RNA". It matches the Rfam family "Bacterial small subunit ribosomal RNA", at positions 524 to 776 of the family's 1533-position model. The record is from RNAcentral.
UACGGAGGGUGCAAGCGUUGCUCGGAAUUAUUGGGCGUAAAGCGCACGCAGGCGGCAAGAUAAGUCAGUUGUGAAAUUCCCGAGCUUAGCUUGGGAGCUGCAGCUGAUACUGUCUUGCUUGAGUACGGAAGAGGGGAGCGGAAUUCCCAGUGUAGAGGUGAAAUUCGUAGAUAUUGGGAGGAACACCGGUGGCGAAGGCGGCUCCCUGGUCCGAUACUGACGCUCAUGUGCGAAAGCGUGGGGAGCAAACAGG